CCAACAUGGCUGGGAUCAAGUGCACCCGCCCAACGUCGCAAUCCCGCCCGCGUUCACAGACCUGUGGCUCCUCCUGUGCGCUCGCUAUUCAGACGGAGGCGGCUCAGUUCUUUGGUCUGCCGGCUCGGCCUUCAUCGUGUGCGGUUUAGAGACUGCGCGUCCUCCCCCCCGCGUCAGCCGUGGCCGGUGACGUGCCGGGGCUCUGCCUCUUGUGGGACAGGGGGCUCACCCUGGGGUGUUCCGGCGAUCGGGUUUGCGUUGCGCUCGGGCUCUUUUCGCCCGGCGUCGGCUUUUCGAAAGUUUGCGGCGACGGCGGAGCGACCGGGCUCUUCUUCUCCCACGUGGCGGGAAAAGCGGCCUUCCUCUCCGGGCUCUCGGUUGCGGCAGGAGGCCUCUCGAGGACGGGCCGAGCUGCCUCCGCCUCGGGCUCCCGUUUCCCCCCGUCACCGGCUGGACGGACGGAGAGCGAAAGGAAACGAAUCUAUCAAAGAAUAAAUGCUCUUCAGUUGUUUUGAAGUGUGAACACCUCUCUCACCCUCCGGAGCUAUUUUUGCUUCCUCCCUUCCAGAUGAAUCUUCGGUGCAGGUGGGCAGGUCUCCUCUGUUUCCACGGAAACGGAUGGGGGAUCUUUGUAACACUGCCUUCAGCUCUUUAGAGGGAGACAACCAAGAAUUAAGUUCCUCAAGACCAAGUUCCUCUUUGAUUCGUGAAAACACAGAGAGAUUAUGAACCUUUCGUUUUAGUGCCCAUUGCUUAUGAUGCUCCUGGUACACGCUGUUUGGUUUAAGUGCCGCCCAAACCGACCCGUUCAAGUCUGUGCGGGCGCUGUGGCACGUUUCCCAGUGGGGCUACUAGGGUGACAAGCAGGUUUUUAAACCAAGGCCAAUACUCAAAUAUGCAAGAAUUGGAUAGAUGCCACCAUAAUAAUGCUAGAAGAAGAAGACCUGCAGCAGCGAUAUUGAGGUUCAGUUAAAUAAAGUUAAGUUUGAACGAGUCACCAUGUGUUUACCAUCACGCCUGGUCUUACAGUAAAGACGGGCUCUAUGGGCUUUCUUUAAAAAUCCAAUCAUUAUCAAAAUGAUCUAAAUAAUGACUACGAUAUUGAUGUUUUUUGUUGUGUUUUUGUUUGUAAUGUUUCUCAUAUUGUAAAGCUCACAUAGGCAAACAAAUGUUUGAACUGAUGUGUAAAAAUAUCUAUUAACCUUUUAUAAACUUGUAGUUUGGUCUUAACUUGUUUCAUAUUCCUGACCUUACGGUUAUACUUAUAAUUCAACGUUUCCGUCUU
Molecule: long non-coding RNA, 1285 nt
Organism: Gasterosteus aculeatus (three-spined stickleback)
Lineage: Eukaryota; Metazoa; Chordata; Actinopteri; Perciformes; Gasterosteidae
Source: Ensembl